UUUGGGCGAUUUUGACACAUCUUGGCAACACGUCUUUCGUGCAGAGUGUUCGGAAGAUUGCUGCUUUUUGCUUCUCUUCAGUAAAAUUUGUGUAAUUUGCUGUGGAAAUUCACUAAAACUUGGUUUCGUUGAGGAAUAGGAUGUAAACAAUCACCAAAUUUCAACUGCAGAGGAUAGAACAUCGGUAGGAAAAAAGGAGCUAAACACGAGCUGGAAAUUUCGGUAGCAUCAACAAUGGAAAUAUACCACCGUUCGAGGAAUAGUACAGGCGAGCUUUAUCCGAGAAAACUACACUGCGCGCUCGUACAGUAUCGGACAGAAAGAUAGGGCAUUGGUUUUUUAACGCACCGUGCACCCGUUGGGCCAAGUUUAUGUGUGGUUUGUAUGUGUUUGUGUUUGUGUGUGUGUGUAUGUGUGUGUAUGUGUGUUUGUGUGUGUGUGUGUAUGUGUGUGUGCAUGUGUGUGUGUGUGUGGAUGUAUGUUUGAAUGUGUAUUGAUGUGUGUGUUUGUUUCACAAGUAGGUCGUUUCGGAUAGAUUUGUAAGUAGUUUUUUUGUGUUUUGGGUUAGGUUUUCGGUGUGAUAAGCAGGACCACCGCCCUCGCGAUCAGUGUGUUUUCGAUAUAUUAACAAUGUUACGGUCUUCUUUCGCCGUGGUCUUCUGAGGACGUCCGGUUGACUUGCGCGUUUCGGUGGUCCAAGCGCGUUUCAGUUGUCUAAGCACGUUUCGGUUGUCCGAAGCGCGUUUGCCACAAAAGUGCGCGAUCGUUCCAUUACGAACUCGAUCCUUUUGCGCUUAAUGCCAGCAGCAGCCAUUCGCUUUUACAUAUGGCGCUGAUGAUCGGUACAACGUUUACCUCGACCCAUUGUUACUAACAUUGCUUGCUUGGACCGUCAAGAACGCGCUGGUUAAAAACUUGGACACGGCUGAUCCCGUGCUCUGCCUGCGUUCUACUUCUAUACGCGAUGAAUUACAUCGUUAUGGAGCAGUGAAAACAUCGCAUGGAUAAAAACUAUCAACGAGUACGCGAGUAAGCGUCUUCCCUUCAAAAUCGAGAAAAGAAUACUGCCGCGCUCAUGAAACAAAACGCCCAUUGAAAAGAAUAACUGCGCGCCAGCUCAAUGCACGCACAAAGUUUACCAUUCGCACACAACGUGCAACGCAGAGAUGCACGAAGGCCUUUCAAUGGCGUGCACUGGAGAAACACCUGUGAGAGAAUGCCGAGUUCAUUGCUAUUGUGCGUGUGUCCAUUUCGCACCGGUGUCGCAUUCACAUUCAUGAAACAGCACACCUGCGUUUUCGUCCGAGGAACAAGCGCUGCUGUCGAUGCAAACUUUAGUUUUUAUCCAAGUGUAAACGCACAAUGUUUCACAUGAUAACACACAUAAUAAGAAUAAUUUCAACGCAAUAUGACAUCAUGGCAAGCUAUGUUUUUCAGACACAAACCCGCGCACUUGCUAACACAUUAAAAAGCACACUCUCUUUCUACUACUACACACACACACACAUGCACACACACACACACACAUACACACACACACACACACACACACACACACUCACACACAUACACACACACACACAUACACACAUACACACACACAAACACAAGUAACGUGGCAAAACAAGUGCACGGUGCAUUGAAAAAAAAGGGUCCUAUCUUAAUGUCCGAUACUGUAUGCUACAGCGCAAUCCUCGGCAAAAUUGGGAAAGGUGCAGAUGAGGGCUGAGACAACAGAUACUUUCGUUAUGGAUAUGAAACGCUGUGAGCAAAGAACUGUGGAAGAACGUUGCGGUUUUACUCGUACAACUGCGAUGAGAAAUCUUCCAACCAUACGGUCGGAAGAUGAUUGAAUGGUAAAAGCGCUACUUCAAAGGAAAAAUGAACGAUGUAGCGACAAAAGCUGAUGCCGCAAGUGGAAGGUCAGCGCAGAGGUAGCAGUAGCUGCACCAUUGCAGAAUGCGAAUACUGGCACGCAAUACAAUGUCUCUAUAUUACUUAGCAAAAGAGGAUACUCCUGAUACUCUUCUCCUCCUGGUACUCCUGAACUUACGAUUGGAAGCUCGGGACAUGGAACUGCAAAACCCUCUCAUCGGAUGUGAAGACUAGAAUUGCGUUCGAUUAGGUCUGGGCACGCGAUUUCGAAAUAGUAACACUUCAGGAGGUAUGCUGGAAAGGCGUGACGGUGCGCCAGUACCGUAGCAACUGCACGAUCUACCAGACGCGCGAGCUCCGUAUUGCGUUCAUGGUGCUGGAUGCGAUGCAACAAAGAGUGAUCGGGUGGUGCCGUUUCAACGAACGGACGUGCACCGAUGACGAGAAUGAGGCCUUCUAUACGCAGCUGGAGAAGGGAAUACGACCGCUGCCCAAAACAUGACGUGAAGUCGUCGUCAUCGGAGACUUUAAUGCUCAGGUCGGACUGGAGGAGACAUAUAAACCAACGAUUGGAAGCUUCAGCGUCCAUCAGCUGACAAACGACAACCUCAGGCUGAUAAACUUGGCUGCCUCCAAGCACAUGAGCAUCUGCAUCACCUUCUUCUAGCAUGCACACUGCCUUAGUUACACCUGGAGACACCCGAGGGAUGAUUCAAAAUCCCAAAUCGACCACGUUUGCAGAUCACUGGCGUAUGGUGGAACGAGCCAUCAGCACUGCAGCCGAACACAAGGUAUCGGAUUCUCCUGUCUGCUCUUUAACAGACCCUGGAAGGUGUCAUUCGAGUCGCGGGGCUAGUCAACGACAUCCCUGGCACGAUCCUCUAACGACCUCUCCAAUUUCUUGUCUUCGCGGAUGACAUCGACAUCAUCGGCAGGACAACAGCGAAGAUGUGUGAGGCGUACACUCAAGAGCGAAGCAGCAAUAAUAGGAUUGAUAAUCAAUAGCAAUACCCAUCAAACCAUAGAUCGGAAUGAGCUAUGGAACACCAUGCAGCAGUACGGAUUCUCUUGGAAGGACUAUCUUUGGCGGUGUGUGCGAGCAGGGUUGUGUGGAGAAGGAGGAGGAACCACGAGCUAGCUGAGCUGUUUGGCGGUGCAGAUAUCCUGACGAGCAUCAAAACCGGAAGGAUACGAUGGCUGGGGCACGUGAUGAGGAUGCCGGAUUCAUGCCCCACCAGGAGGGUGCUCGUCAGCGACCCGUUCGGCACGAGGCGUAGAGGAGCACAGCGAGCUCAUUGGCUGGAUCAGGUGGAGUCGAACCUGUCGGAGAUCGGAUGCAGGCGUGGUUGGAGGACUGCAUCCCAGGACCGAGUUUCCUGGAAAUGGAUUGGCGACCUGGCCAUGUCUACUAGACGUGCUCGUACAUGAGCAGGCCAAGAAGAAGAAGAAGACAUACUUACAGGCUUGAACUGCAAAGUUAACUUUUCGUGGAGAUGUCUCAAUUGCAAGAAUAGAAUAUGCCUGUUAUUGUAUUUAGAUUUCGAUUCGAGUCAAGAAACUGAACACCAAAGUGAUGUUCACUUCACUUCCGUACGAAUCAACUUUUAAACUCUACGUCUACGUCGAAAUGGCGCGAUUGCAAGAAUAGAUUAUGGCUGAAUGUAUAAAAUAUUGUGUUUCUUCUUGAAUGUAAACACGAAAAUUAGAUAACUAAUCAACAUUCUUUUAGUAGUUCUUUACGAUUCGCCAAUCGCUCUUCUUCUUUGCAAGUCAUUUUUUCUAAUAUGUUUGUUUUUGUUUUAGUAGAAACAAAAAAUUGCGAAGAAAUAUAAACUAACGAAAAGAUUUUUACAAGAAUAAUCAAGCAUGGUGUUAUGAUGACGUAGCUGAAUUCAUUCACAUGAAACCCGGCUUUUCACUAACGAGUACUUCCUCCCAACCAUACCUUAUUGCACGGCCGCUCAGUUAUUAUCCGACCAGAUUUCUGAAGCAUGUGUAUCCUAAUGUAAUAUUUGUAAGACCUGCUCGGUCGAGAUGUGCGCGUACAAAAGCAAACGUCGUUAAUGCGCCCUGGUCCAAGUCCAGAGUCGCCGCCUGCACCUCGGUGUGAUGCACGGUAAAGGGUUGGCACAGCCCUCAUUGAAACUGUUUGCGGUUGUACGAAAGUAUUCAUCACCUUUACCUAACGCUGCUUUACUUUUUGCGUGUCCAAUCCUUUCCAUCCCUUUCCCUUCCCAUCGACCCGUCUUCCGUCUUCCACAGACCACCGGCCCCGGCAUGCUAACGACAAUGACGGUCGACGUGUCGUAAUUGAAAUUCAAAAUGCGAUUCAUAAUUAAAAUAUGCGCCCCGGCUCUCGCCGGCACGGUUGCGUGGAAAUCUUGCCCCACUGCUCUUAGAAGGGUGGGGUUCAGAUUUCACCAUCAUCAAUGGAGGAGCACGGUGGUACAGCACGCUGUGCACAAUGGAGCCGUGCACAAAUUGUCGCCGGAAAGGAAGCUAGCCAACAUCAGCAGCAGAGGAAGCGCCAACGGAUGGAGUGAGCUUUUCUUUUUGGUUUUAUCCCUUCACACACAAAAGAGAGAAGAGGAAAAUCGAGCCACGGAAAUCAAGCGGAUUGAAAGGAACAAACCGCCAGGAGCGGGAGAGAGAGAGAGAGCGAAAAGCAGAAAUCCUUGGCACAAAGAUAAACAAAGAAACAAGAUCAUGCCGUCCGUCCGUGCCGGUGUUUCGGUCGUUGGUUUAGUUCUCCCUAUUCCCUUCCCCCCUUUCCCUACAACCCAAGGAGUUAAUUCAUCUUCGUUGCUCGUUCAUUUUGCGAGCUUUUCACCAGUUCGCUUCCUGUCACCUUCUCCCCUUCCUCCCUUCAUAUAUCCCGUUUCCCUGAGGGAUUCGCCAAAGGCUCGUUUGGUGUGUUUGUACUCUCCAAAGCAAAGCGUGCGUCUCGGCCGGCACAGCUUAUCUUUUAUUCAUCUCCGUUGCACCUUUUCUCGGUCGAGUGACGCUGUUGGGAUCAGACGCUCAUGCACCCCGCUCUCCCCUACAAAUACAGGCAAGCAUACACACACACACAUACGCAAGCACAUGUGAUGUUCUUUUCCAGAUGCGCAUCCUUUACUUUGCAAUAUACAAAGAAGCGUUUGGCUUUCAAUAUUUGCCCUAUACACGUACACUAUACUGAGCCAGGAAGCCACUUCACUUGAUUUGCUUACCAGCAGGUUCUGUGUGUGUGUGUGUGUGUGUUUCUGUGUUCUUUUACCUUGCAUCUCUCCAUUUUGCCAGCAGACAUAAUUUUCUUUCUUUAAGCACCUUGCUUCAUUCGCUAAGCUUUUCCAACAGUAUAAUCUCGUUCACUCGACCAUCCCUUUCUCCCAGUUUUUUUCACUUUCUUUUAAUAUAUCCUUGAAGGAUGGCAACAAAAAAUAUAUCUCUGAUAUAUACCAACAUUAUUCACGCUCAAGUGCCGCAUGUCGCAAAAGCAAAAAUUCGUUUAAAGACGCUUGCUCUCCAGCAUAAGUCACACCUUGCAAGCGUUGAUGUAGUUGCUCUACUGCUGGACAAUUAUUCAAAGAGAUCGUUGUAUUUUUUUCUUCUUCUUGUGUCGUCCUCUUUUCUCUUUAAUGUCGUCGACCUCUUUGGGGGGAGCUGCUCUUUAGGGAGAUGACUGUGUCUGGGCUGCCCAAAUUGAGACGGGGAAGAAAAAUGGAUUUCGCGUCCAAACGACCCCCGGGAAGCAACCAUCGUUAUCCUGUGUGGAAAGCGAGUGGAUCGGUCUUUCACUGCAGGCUGCAGGCUUAUUGUUGAUACGGCAUUAUAUAUAGGAGUUUGCUUGACUUAUUCAUGCCACGUAACCGAACAGUCAGUCGUUGCUAUGAAGUACUAUGAUGCACCGGAUGGGAAUUGAACCCGAUCUUGUACGAGCGGAUGCCUUCAGAAGGGACAACAGCGAAGAUGUGUGAGGCGUACACUCAAGAGCGAAGCAGCAAUAAUAGGAUUGAUAAUCAAUAGCAAUACCCAUCAAACCAUAGAUCGGAAUGAGCUAUGGAACACCAUGCAGCAGUACGGAUUCUCUUGGAAGGACUAUCUUUGGCGGUGUGUGCGAGCAGGGUUGUGUGGAGAAGGAGGAGGAACCACGAGCUAGCUGAGCUGUUUGGCGGUGCAGAUAUCCUGACGAGCAUCAAAACCGGAAGGAUACGAUGGCUGGGGCACGUGAUGAGGAUGCCGGAUUCAUGCCCCACCAGGAGGGUGCUCGUCAGCGACCCGUUCGGCACGAGGCGUAGAGGAGCACAGCGAGCUCAUUGGCUGGAUCAGGUGGAGUCGAACCUGUCGGAGAUCGGAUGCAGGCGUGGUUGGAGGACUGCAUCCCAGGACCGAGUUUCCUGGAAAUGGAUUGGCGACCUGGCCAUGUCUACUAGACGUGCUCGUACAUGAGCAGGCCAAGAAGAAGAAGAAGACAUACUUACAGGCUUGAACUGCAAAGUUAACUUUUCGUGGAGAUGUCUCAAUUGCAAGAAUAGAAUAUGCCUGUUAUUGUAUUUAGAUUUCGAUUCGAGUCAAGAAACUGAACACCAAAGUGAUGUUCACUUCACUUCCGUACGAAUCAACUUUUAAACUCUACGUCUACGUCGAAAUGGCGCGAUUGCAAGAAUAGAUUAUGGCUGAAUGUAUAAAAUAUUGUGUUUCUUCUUGAAUGUAAACACGAAAAUUAGAUAACUAAUCAACAUUCUUUUAGUAGUUCUUUACGAUUCGCCAAUCGCUCUUCUUCUUUGCAAGUCAUUUUUUCUAAUAUGUUUGUUUUUGUUUUAGUAGAAACAAAAAAUUGCGAAGAAAUAUAAACUAACGAAAAGAUUUUUACAAGAAUAAUCAA
Long non-coding RNA from Anopheles coluzzii, 6742 nucleotides. RefSeq lists it as uncharacterized. The transcript has 3 exons. Lineage: Eukaryota; Metazoa; Arthropoda; Insecta; Diptera; Culicidae. The record is from RefSeq and is a predicted model, not a curated record.